This 465-nucleotide ribosomal RNA is filed under the name uncultured bacterium. Its description in RNAcentral is "partial 16S ribosomal RNA". It matches the Rfam family "Bacterial small subunit ribosomal RNA", at positions 338 to 795 of the family's 1533-position model. The record is from RNAcentral.
CCUACGGGAGGCAGCAGUAGGGAAUCUUCGGCAAUGGACGAAAGUCUGACCGAGCAACGCCGCGUGAGUGAAGAAGGUUUUCGGAUCGUAAAACUCUGUUGGUAGAGAAGAAAGGUGGUGAGCGUGGAAAGCCCAUCAAGUGACGGUAACUACCCAGAAAGGGACGGCAAACCACGUGCCAGCAGCUGCGGUAAUACGUAGGUCCCUAGCGUUGUCCGGAUUUAUUGGGGGUAAAGCGAGCGCAGGUGGUUUCUUAAGUCUGGGGUAAAAGGGAGUGGCUCAACCAAUGUAUGCAUUGGAAACUGGUAUGCUUGAGUGCAAGAGAGGUAAGUGGAAUGCCAUGUGUAGCGGUGAAAUGCGUAGAUAUAUCGAGGAACACCGAUGGCGAAAGCGGCUCGCUGGCCUGUAACUGACACUGAGGCUCGAAAGCGUGGGGAGCAAACAGGAUUAGAUACCCGUGUAGUC